CACGUAGGGCGCAAGCGUUGUCCGGAAUUAUUGGGCGUAAAGAGCUCGUAGGCGGUCUGUUGCGUCCGCUGUGAAAACUCGGGGCUUAACCCCGAGCCUGCAGUGGAUACGGGCAGACUAGAGGUAGGUAGGGGAGAAUGGAAUUCCCGGUGUAGCGGUGAAAUGCGCAGAUAUCGGGAGGAACACCGGUGGCGAAGGCGGUUCUCUGUGCCUUACCUGACGCUGAGGAGCGAAAGCGUGGGGAGCGAACAGG
RNAcentral lists this ribosomal RNA (253 nucleotides) under uncultured bacterium. Its description in RNAcentral is "partial 16S ribosomal RNA". It matches the Rfam family "Bacterial small subunit ribosomal RNA", at positions 524 to 776 of the family's 1533-position model. The record is from RNAcentral.